Molecule: ribosomal RNA, 459 nt
Filed under: uncultured bacterium
Lineage: Bacteria
Description: partial 16S ribosomal RNA
Rfam family: Bacterial small subunit ribosomal RNA
Source: RNAcentral
CCUACGGGUGGCAGCAGUGAGGAAUAUUGGUCAAUGGGCGCGAGCCUGAACCAGCCAAGUCGCGUGAGGGAAGACGGUCCUAUGGAUUGUAAACCUCUUUUGUCGGGGAGCAAAAGACGCCACGCGUGGCGUUCCGAGAGUACCCGAAGAAAAAGCAUCGGCUAACUCCGUGCCAGCAGCCGCGGUAAUACGGAGGAUGCGAGCGUUAUCCGGAUUUAUUGGGUUUAAAGGGUGCGUAGGCGGAAGAUCAGGUCAGCGGUAAAAUUGAGAGGCUCAACCUCUUCGAGCCGUUGAAACUGGUUGUCUUGAGUGAGUGAGAGGUAUGCGGAAUGCGUGGUGUAGCGGUGAAAUGCAUAGAUAUCACGCAGAACUCCGAUUGCGAAGGCAGCAUACCGGCGCUCAACUGACGCUCAGGCACGAAAGUGUGGGUAUCGAACAGGAUUAGAUACCCGGGUAGUC